GCCCUCGUAGUUCAAUGGAUAGAACUCCUCACUCCUAACGAGGUAAUCGAGGUUCGAUUCCUCGCGAGGGCA
This 72-nucleotide transfer RNA is filed under the name bacterium. RNAcentral's name for it is "tRNA-Arg". It matches the Rfam family "tRNA". Rfam says of the family: Transfer RNA (tRNA) molecules are approximately 80 nucleotides in length. Their secondary structure includes four short double-helical elements and three loops (D, anti-codon, and T loops). Further hydrogen bonds mediate the characteristic L-shaped molecular structure. tRNAs have two regions of fundamental functional importance: the anti-codon, which is responsible for specific mRNA codon recognition, and the 3' end, to which the tRNAs corresponding amino acid is attached (by aminoacyl-tRNA synthetases). tRNAs cope with the degeneracy of the genetic code in two manners: having more than one tRNA (with a specific anti-codon) for a particular amino acid; and 'wobble' base-pairing, i.e. permitting non-standard base-pairing at the 3rd anti-codon position. The record is from RNAcentral.